CAUGAGUUACAUAAAGAACUUGCCAUCAAUACUCACUGCCAGUUGGUGUUGCUAGGUGUACCAAUGAAGUCCUGAAUGGCAGACAAACACAGUUUAGAGUCACCUGCUGCCUUUAGUUGUCAUGUCUGGCUUGGUGUCUUUACUUGUGUCUUAGUUACUUUUCUUAUUGCUGAGACAAAAUAUCAGACACCCAAGUUAAAGGAGGAAGGAUUUAUUGUACCUCACAGUUUGUAGGGGUUUCAGUUCAUAAUGAGCUGGAUCCAAGGCAGAAUGGCACAUGGCAGAGGGGCAUUGCAGAGGAGAAACAGUUCAUGGUGGGCAGAAGUGAAAUAGCAAGCAGCAAGCGACCAACAAGCUGCUCUUUCUGUCCCUUAUUUCUAGCCCAGCUACAUGCCCUUAGGGCGGGUAGCACUCACACCCAGGGUGGGCCUUCCCAUUAUUCACACCCAGAACUAUGCUGAACUGUAUUAAUUGAUAUUAAUGUGGACUAUAGUUUCUUCUUUCAUUGAGCAGGAUGCAGUCUGUUGCUCUGUUUCUUCAGCUGCAACCCUGGCCUCAGACAUGGCCAGUCAGCACACCUGCAAGUUGGGCCUUUGUCCCUUUGACAUGUGCUCCUCCUCCACGGGCCUGCUGUGAUUUUCCACAAGAAGGCGUUCCAGGCUGUGCACUGGUCCUGCUGUCUCAGUGGAAGUUUGUUUUGAAAGCUAAGCCUGGAGUGUGUGCCUGUGCUAGUGCACUCGCCUGGUCCCAGGCCACCUUGGGAAUUGGAGCUGGGAGUGUUGUGCACGCACACACAAGUGCACACGUGACAUCCCAGUGCUCCUGUGUCCGUAUAGCGAGAUCGGGAGCACAGCAGUACCUCAGUGCCAGUCUGGCUGCAGGGCUCCUCAUUUCCCUCCUUUCUGUCGUUGCAGCUCUAUUCUCAGACAGUGGCUCCAGCCACCCUCAGCGUAACAACCCCUAAUUGCUGCAGAUUUUCUUAUUCAUGGGCAAACUCACUUAUCAGAAAACGUGACAUUGGAGGGGUAGUUUCCCUGCUAAAUCUUUACGUAAGAAGUUAGUUACACUGUUUUCCUCAGCACAAGUAAAACCACUUAUCCUAUAUAUAAGAUCCUAAAUUUCAAGAAAUUUAGGUGACAGAUGCAAGUCAAGCACACCAGUGCUAGAUAAAACACUAUAUCCAUGCCUGUGCCUUGUGGCCAUUGGCAUAUUGUGCUUCUGCAUUUAUUUCCCUGGCUCAGGGAACAGCAAAAGGACUAAUUAAUCCUGUUUUCUAUGUACGCAUCACUCUCUCUGCGAACUUUCCCUGUCCGUUCACAAGCAUUUCCAGCCUCCUUUGCUCUGCCCUGUGUUUACAUGUGAGCUGGAUUUCAGGUCCGUGCUGUCACUCCACAAAUACAUUUUCCUAAGCAGCCCUGGUGUUUGGAACCAAAUCAGUCCCACUGCUCCUGGCUUGAAGAGAGCAUUGAGGAUGUCGGGUGUGAAUGGAGUACUAGUGCUCUGUGUGACUCACCGCUAGAGAGAAGGAAGGUGGCGCCGGGGAGACUAAGCUCUUAAGCGCUGAGCAGCACCUGAGGAACACCGAGCUGGCUCUUCUGCUGGGCAGCCCUGAAUGCCUGGGUGGUAACUGACUCCCGAGGGAAGAGGCUCUGCACGGAUGGCACAGGAGGAGACAGCCGGGUCCUCGGUGUGCUGGAGCUGCCACGUCGGCCUUGGGCGGCCUCUCCUUGCCCUCCUACAGAAACGCAGAAGCCUCUUAUUUAAGUCACUGAGGCUGGACUGAUGGGGACCAGCGGCGGCCUCACAGACGACUCCUGACAUCCGCAGGCUGUGCCUAGUCCCUGGGUUCCUUGCAGGCACCGGCUGCCAUGCCAUCCUCCC
Heterocephalus glaber (naked mole-rat) is the source of this 1881-nucleotide long non-coding RNA. The record is from Ensembl. Lineage: Eukaryota; Metazoa; Chordata; Mammalia; Rodentia; Bathyergidae.